CGCGACGGCGUUCGUCGCCUUGCAGCCUCUCGGGCCGAAGACGUGCCAUGGGCUAGCCCCAUCGGUUCUCUUCGCCCAAACAACAAACCCCCGGCGCCGAACGCGCCAAGGAACAUGAUUCUAAGGGCGUUCUCUUGUCGUCCCGGCAACGGUGCACGUGCAACGAGUGACGCGAAAUUUGUAUCCAAAAUGACUCUCGGCAACGGAUAUCUCGGCUCUCGCAUCGAUGAAGAACGUAGCGAAAUGCGAUACUUGGUGUGAAUUGCAGAAUCCCGUGAACCAUCGAGUCUUUGAACGCAAGUUGCGCCCGAAGCCAUUAGGCCGAGGGCACGUCUGGCUGGGUGUCACGCAACGUCGCCCCAACCCCCACGCCCAUCGCAGGGCGUCGGGGGUCGAGGGCGGAUGAUGGCCUCCCGUGAGCCACGCCUCGCGGAUGGCCGAAAUAAGAGUUUGCGAUGUGGCGAGCACCACGGCGCACGGUAGUUGAGUAAACAACGCUCGAGCCCAGUCGUGCGUGCUCCGCCCCCGUGGCGAGCUCGGAGACCCUAUCGCGUCUCGGGACGCUUCUGAUGCGACCUCAGCUCAGGCGGGGCUACCCGCUGAGG
This 605-nucleotide ribosomal RNA is filed under the name Berlinia razzifera. RNAcentral describes it as "eukaryotic LSU rRNA". The stretch from base 192 to 347 matches the Rfam family "5.8S ribosomal RNA". The record is from RNAcentral. Lineage: Eukaryota; Viridiplantae; Streptophyta; Magnoliopsida; Fabales; Fabaceae.